GGGUUGUGAGGUUAAGCGACUAAGCGUACACGGUGGAUGCCCUGGCAGUCAGAGGCGAUGAAGGACGUGCUAAUCUGCGAUAAGCGUCGGUAAGGUGAUAUGAACCGUUAUAACCGGCGAUUUCCGAAUGGGGAAACCCAGUGUGAUUCGUCACACUAUCAUUAACUGAAUCCAUAGGUUAAUGAGGCGAACCGGGGGAACUGAAACAUCUAAGUACCCCGAGGAAAAGAAAUCAACCGAGAUUCCCCCAGUAGCGGCGAGCGAACGGGGAGCAGCCCAGAGCCUGAAUCAGUGUGUGUGUUAGUGGAAGCGUCUGGAAAGGCGUGCGAUACAGGGUGACAGCCCCGUACACAAAAAUGCACAUACUGUGAGCUCGAUGAGUAGGGCGGGACACGUGGUAUCCUGUCUGAAUAUGGGGGGACCAUCCUCCAAGGCUAAAUACUCCUGACUGACCGAUAGUGAACCAGUACCGUGAGGGAAAGGCGAAAAGAACCCCGGCGAGGGGAGUGAAAAAGAACCUGAAACCGUGUACGUACAAGCAGUGGGAGCACGCUUAGGCGUGUGACUGCGUACCUUUUGUAUAAUGGGUCAGCGACUUAUAUUCUGUAGCAAGGUUAACCGAAUAGGGGAGCCGAAGGGAAACCGAGUCUUAACUGGGCGUUAAGUUGCAGGGUAUAGACCCGAAACCCGGUGAUCUAGCCAUGGGCAGGUUGAAGGUUGGGUAACACUAACUGGAGGACCGAACCGACUAAUGUUGAAAAAUUAGCGGAUGACUUGUGGCUGGGGGUGAAAGGCCAAUCAAACCGGGAGAUAGCUGGUUCUCCCGAAAGCUAUUUAGGUAGCGCCUCGUGAAUUCAUCUCCGGGGGUAGAGCACUGUUUCGGCAAGGGGGUCAUCCCGACUUACCAACCCGAUGCAAACUGCGAAUACCGGAGAAUGUUAUCACGGGAGACACACGGCGGGUGCUAACGUCCGUCGUGAAGAGGGAAACAACCCAGACCGCCAGCUAAGGUCCCAAAGUCAUGGUUAAGUGGGAAACGAUGUGGGAAGGCCCAGACAGCCAGGAUGUUGGCUUAGAAGCAGCCAUCAUUUAAAGAAAGCGUAAUAGCUCACUGGUCGAGUCGGCCUGCGCGGAAGAUGUAACGGGGCUAAACCAUGCACCGAAGCUGCGGCAGCGACGCUUAUGCGUUGUUGGGUAGGGGAGCGUUCUGUAAGCCUGCGAAGGUGUGCUGUGAGGCAUGCUGGAGGUAUCAGAAGUGCGAAUGCUGACAUAAGUAACGAUAAAGCGGGUGAAAAGCCCGCUCGCCGGAAGACCAAGGGUUCCUGUCCAACGUUAAUCGGGGCAGGGUGAGUCGACCCCUAAGGCGAGGCCGAAAGGCGUAGUCGAUGGGAAACAGGUUAAUAUUCCUGUACUUGGUGUUACUGCGAAGGGGGGACGGAGAAGGCUAUGUUGGCCGGGCGACGGUUGUCCCGGUUUAAGCGUGUAGGCUGGUUUUCCAGGCAAAUCCGGAAAAUCAAGGCUGAGGCGUGAUGACGAGGCACUACGGUGCUGAAGCAACAAAUGCCCUGCUUCCAGGAAAAGCCUCUAAGCAUCAGGUAACAUCAAAUCGUACCCCAAACCGACACAGGUGGUCAGGUAGAGAAUACCAAGGCGCUUGAGAGAACUCGGGUGAAGGAACUAGGCAAAAUGGUGCCGUAACUUCGGGAGAAGGCACGCUGAUAUGUAGGUGAAGUCCCUCGCGGAUGGAGCUGAAAUCAGUCGAAGAUACCAGCUGGCUGCAACUGUUUAUUAAAAACACAGCACUGUGCAAACACGAAAGUGGACGUAUACGGUGUGACGCCUGCCCGGUGCCGGAAGGUUAAUUGAUGGGGUUAGCGCAAGCGAAGCUCUUGAUCGAAGCCCCGGUAAACGGCGGCCGUAACUAUAACGGUCCUAAGGUAGCGAAAUUCCUUGUCGGGUAAGUUCCGACCUGCACGAAUGGCGUAAUGAUGGCCAGGCUGUCUCCACCCGAGACUCAGUGAAAUUGAACUCGCUGUGAAGAUGCAGUGUACCCGCGGCAAGACGGAAAGACCCCGUGAACCUUUACUAUAGCUUGACACUGAACAUUGAGCCUUGAUGUGUAGGAUAGGUGGGAGGCUUUGAAGUGUGGACGCCAGUCUGCAUGGAGCCGACCUUGAAAUACCACCCUUUAAUGUUUGAUGUUCUAACGUUGACCCGUAAUCCGGGUUGCGGACAGUGUCUGGUGGGUAGUUUGACUGGGGCGGUCUCCUCCUAAAGAGUAACGGAGGAGCACGAAGGUUGGCUAAUCCUGGUCGGACAUCAGGAGGUUAGUGCAAUGGCAUAAGCCAGCUUGACUGCGAGCGUGACGGCGCGAGCAGGUGCGAAAGCAGGUCAUAGUGAUCCGGUGGUUCUGAAUGGAAGGGCCAUCGCUCAACGGAUAAAAGGUACUCCGGGGAUAACAGGCUGAUACCGCCCAAGAGUUCAUAUCGACGGCGGUGUUUGGCACCUCGAUGUCGGCUCAUCACAUCCUGGGCUGAAGUAGGUCCCAAGGGUAUGGCUGUUCGCCAUUUAAAGUGGUACGCGAGCUGGGUUUAGAACGUCGUGAGACAGUUCGGUCCCUAUCUGCCGUGGGCGCUGGAGAACUGAGGGGGCUGCUCCUAGUACGAGAGGACCGGAGUGGACGCAUCACUGGUGUUCGGGUUGUCAUGCCAAUGGCACUGCCCGGUAGCUAAAUGCGGAAGAGAUAAGUGCUGAAAGCAUCUAAGCACGAAACUUGCCCCGAGAUGAGUUCUCCCUGACUCCUUGAGAGUCCUGAAGGAACGUUGAAGACGACGACGUUGAUAGGCCGGGUGUGUAAGCGCAGCGAUGCGUUGAGCUAACCGGUACUAAUGAACCGUGAGGCUUAACCUUACAACGCCGAAGGUGUUU
This 2928-nucleotide ribosomal RNA is filed under the name Escherichia coli. Its description in RNAcentral is "bacterial LSU rRNA". It matches the Rfam family "Bacterial large subunit ribosomal RNA". Lineage: Bacteria; Pseudomonadati; Pseudomonadota; Gammaproteobacteria; Enterobacterales; Enterobacteriaceae. The record is from RNAcentral.